This 1532-nucleotide long non-coding RNA is filed under the name Homo sapiens (human). RNAcentral describes it as "HSALNT0377450". Lineage: Eukaryota; Metazoa; Chordata; Mammalia; Primates; Hominidae. The record is from RNAcentral.
CAUCAUGUAGCGCCAGCCACACCAGGAACAGAAGGGUGCCGGGUACCUUCCGCAUGCUUGGUAUUCUCCCCGCGGGGCUCUGACCGCUGCCGCUCUCAGGCACCUGUCUUUCCUCUCCGUCCCAGAAUGGAGCCAAGACAAGGGAAUAAACGAAAUUCAAUAGUACACGGAGAUCGGGUGUCUGGGCAGCGUCUUGGAAAAACUAUCCACUACAGCAAUCAACAACACAGAAGACAACUUCUGCAACCCUAUCGGGAGAGGAGGGGUUCUCUCCACCACCAGUCCCCUGGAAGAAUUCUCAAAACACAGAAUGCUUGCCAAGUCAAUCCUAAGCCAAAAGAACAAAGCUGGAGGCAUCACACUACCUGACUUCAAACUAUACUACAAGGAUGCAGUAACCAAAACAGCAUGGUACUGGUACCAAAACAGAGAUAUAGACCAAUGGAACAGAACAGAGCCCUCAGAAAUAAUGCCGCUUAUCUACAACCAUCUGAUCUUUGACAAACCUGACAAAAACAAGAAAUGGGGAAAGGAUUCCCUAUUUAAUAAAUGGUGCUGGGAAAACUGGCUAGCCAUAUGCAGAAAGCUGAAACUGGAUCCCUUCCUUACACCUUAUGCUAAAAUUAAUUCAAGAUGGAUUAAAGACUUAAAUGUUAGACCUAAAACCAUAAAAACCGUAGAAUAAAACCUAGGCAAUACCAUUCAGGACAUAGGCAUGGGCAAGGACUUCAUGUUUAAAACACCAAAAGCCAUGGCAACAGAAGCCAAAAUUGACAAAUAGGAUCUAAUUAAACUAAAGAGCUUCUGCACAGCAAAAGAAACUACCAUCAGAGUGAACAGGCAACCUACAGAAUGGGAGAAAAUUUUUGCAAUCUACUCAUCUGACAAAGGGCUAGUAUCCAGAAUCUACAAUGAACUCAAACAAAUUUACAAGAAAAAAACAACCCCAUCAAAAAGUGGGCAAACGAUAUGAACAGACACUUCUCAAAAGACGACAUUUAUGCUGCCAAAAGACACAUGAAAAAAUGCUCAUCAUCACUGGCCAUCAGAGAAAUGCAAAUCAAAACCACAAUGAGAUACCAUCUCACACCAGUUAGAAUGGCGAUCAUUAAAAAGUCAGGAAACAACAGGUGCUGGAGAGGAUGUGGAGAAACAGGAACACUUUUACACUGUUAGUGGGACUGUAAACUAGUUCAACCAUUGUGGAAGUCAGUGUGGCGAUUCCUCAGGGAUCUAGAACUAGAAAUACCAUUUGACCCAGCCAUCCCAUUACUGGGUAUAUACCCAAAGGAUUAUAAAUCAUGCUGCUAUAAAGACACAUGCACACGUAUGUUUAUUGUGGCACUAUUCACAAUAGCAAAGACUUGGAACCAACCCAAAUGUCCAAUAAUGAUAGACUGGAUUAAGAAAAUGUGGCACAUAUACACCAUGGAAUACUAUUCAGCCAUAAAAAAGGAUGAGUUCAUGUCCUUUGUAGGGACAUGGAUGAAGCCGGAAACCAUCAUUCUCAGCAAACUAUCGCAAGGACAAAA